GCGCCCCCCGGGUCCCCGCGGCGCCGCGAGCGCGCGGAGGGGGCGGGAGCGCGGGGGGGCGCGGGCCGGUGGGGGUGGGGAGCGCAGGGAAGGGGGAGCAGCGAUCGCGAGAAAAAAAUGCAGCCUCCCAAAAUAAAGAGCAAGGACUGCGCGGGGAGCGCGCGGCGCUGCAGACGCGGAUGGCAGCCCGGGGUCCGUGAGUUCGCGGCCCCCUCGUGAUCGGAGCGCGCGUGGCUCCGCGGACCGGCCCUGCCCGCGGCCGCCGCACGGCCGCAUGCCCCGGCCCCGUCCCCGCGCCCCUCCGGCGCUGACCGCCCCUCCUGGUAGUUGACCGCACACCGCACAACAAAGGCGCUGGAUGUCUGCGCUCCCGGGGGGCGAGCGCGGCAGACGGACACACGGACAGCCCCGGCCGCGCUCGGGGGAGGGCCUCUCCUCCGCUCCUGCCCGGCAGCAGCAGCAUGGACGUGUUGGCUAGCUAUAGCAUAUUCCAGGAGCUGCAACUCGUCCACGACACCGGCUACUUCUCGGCCCUGCCGUCCCUGGAGGAGACCUGGCAGCAGACAUGCCUUGAAUUGGAACGCUACCUACAGACAGAGCCCAGGAGGAUCUCCGAGACCUUCGGCGAGGACUUGGACUGUUUCCUCCACGCCUCUCCUCCCCCGUGCAUCGAGGAAAGCUUCCGGCGCCUGGACCCCCUGCUGCUCCCCGUGGAAGCCACCAUCUGCGAGAAGAGCUCGGCAGUGGACAUUUUGCUCUCUCGGGACAAGUUGCUCUCUGAGACCUGCCUCAGCCUCCAGCCAACCAGCUCUUCUCUAGACAGCUACACAGCUGUCAACCAGGCCCAGCUCAACGCAGUGACCUCAUUAACGCCCCCAUCGUCCCCUGAGCUCAGCCGCCAUCUGGUCAAAACCUCACAGACUCUCUCAGCCGUGGAUGGCACGGUGACGUUGAAACUGGUGGCCAAGAAGGCUGCCCUCAGCUCGGUAAAGGUGGGAGGGGUGGCAACGGCGGCAGCAGCCGUGGCGGCAGCUGGGACAGUUAAGAGUGGACAGAGCGACAGUGAACAAGGAGGGGGAGGCGCUGAGACGUGCCCUGAAAACAAGAAGAGAGUCCACCGCUGUCAGUUUAACGGGUGCCGGAAGGUCUAUACAAAGAGCUCCCACCUAAAGGCCCACCAGAGGACUCACACAGGUGAGAAGCCUUACAAGUGCUCGUGGGAAGGGUGCGAGUGGCGUUUUGCACGAAGCGAUGAGCUCACGAGGCACUACAGGAAACACACAGGUGCAAAGCCCUUUAAAUGCAACCACUGCGACAGAUGAAGUUCUGUGUCGAGAGUUCUCUUGCCCUGUAAGUUCCCUGGACAUAGAAACGGAAGGAAGAGGUGUGGCCGCUGCCAAGACCUCCCCUCACCUCUCGUGUCUCGGAGCCCGGGCCCCCCUUUGGGACGGGCAGAUUCCGCUGGCUUUGUUGCUUUCUCACAGGCCCUGACCGCACGGGCCUGACCAGGUGUUUUUCCAGGUCUGACCAUCUUGCGCUCCACAUGAAGAGACAUAUCUAAAACCCUCGAGGCCAGAGUCGCCAUGGCGUCAGCCGUUGUCUGAGGGAAACGCCGUGAGGCAGGGGCUGGACUUCAGGCGGGGACCGUUGCCUCGCAGAAGAAAGUUCUCACUUAUCCACCUCUGUGUGCACACGCAGACACACGCAGACACACACGCACCCACGCAUCGACCCACACGCGCACACACUGUCAUGCACUCAGCUAUAUUUAAAAUAUAUACGUCUGUUCUUUAUGCCUUGCCCUCGCCAGAUGGUAGAAGACCAGGAGGCAGGAAACCGGGUGAACUCAGCGAGGCAGACUGGCUGCUUGCUUUAGCACCAUUGGAAUUUCUUCCCGCCGUUGCCGAUGGAAAUCGGAGAAAGCGGAUGCGAGGGCUCUGCAGGUGGACGGCAGUAAGAGGGGCUGAUUCCCCUUCUCAGUGCAACUUGAUAGGAGAAUACAACGUCUUAAAGUUGCAUAUGUGUAGCACUAAUGUUUCCUUUAAGUAGUUGGGGGAAAAAUGACCUAGAAAACCAAAUUGCAGUUUGGUAGCCAAAAUUAACUCUUGGUUCAUUUGUCCUUUGUGUGUGAAAAGUCCUGCUAUUCCGUGCGUCCGACUUCCUCACAGAACUGUCGAUGGGUUUUGGUCCUUCUUAGUACUGUUGAGAUCUUUCCAGGCGAUACCAACGGCCUUAGCGGCGGCAGACUCUGGAAAAACACCUUACACCUUUCUGGCCUGCAUUUCUCUAGACUUCACUCUCAAGGAGGAGUUUUCUUUUCUUACUUUUUGACUCUUGCACACCAUAUGCACUAGGGAUUCCGGAAACUUCUAGCAUGACUGCAAAGUGGCCAAGAGAAUAAAGUCCUUGAUGAUAAAUCACAGUAUAUCCCUUGAGCCUCACCUUAUUGCCAGUGCUAGAUUUUUUCUUUUUAAUCUCUCUGUUUUUGCUAACGAAACUUGAAAAGCUUAUUUCGAAGCUUAAAUGUUUUAUCUUUUCUCCAUGGACUAAACCUCUCCAGGACUCUCUCAGCACCUGGAUGGCCAGCUCUCAAAGCAGCCAAUCAGAUGGGACAUCACAGUUCUCUCAUCCCCCCCGAGGCAUCCUGACCUCAGCUGGUAGUGAUCAACCCCGUGCUGUCUGUCGUUGCUACCCUAUAACCAGUUUCAGCAUAGAUGUUGCUAGUCUCAAAGGGCAGCUGCAUAUUUAACCUAACUCUGGGUUAUGACCUGACAAAAAGCCAAAAAUAUCACUCUUUCCAGGAGUGGAGAAAACUGAGCAUGCCUCCCAGGUCUAGUGGCUUCAAAAGACAUCAUCCUAUCUUCCUCUCUCAUACCCACUGAGCUCAUAUUACCCUACUUGUUAAAACACACGGUUCAAAAUGCCAUUGUGGGAGCGAAGGGUGGACAUUUAAGGAAAGGGUUGAGAUGUUUCUCUUACUGUCUGUCUAAAUGGAGAGACAUAUUUCUAAUUUUUUUUGGCUAGGCCCACCAUGACCUGUGACCCAGGGACCCAGGACCCACAGAGGCUCCCGUUUGCUCUGCAGGCUGGCUCCGGGGGGGUGUGCAGUCCGCUCUUCCCAUCCCACAUACACGUCCGACAUCGGUCUCUGUGUACCACAUUUUAGCUAGCUGGCACUGGCCUCAACUCCAAAGACUGCCUUUAGGACCAUUAAAUGGCCUAUGCAAGCAAGCGGGGUGGUUAUUAGGACAGAUUGUAUAUUUUGUAUAUUCUGGGACCAUCCCUUCAAGACACGUCUAAAAAACAAAAAUGGCGCUUGGUCCACACACGUUGCUGCUCCUUCACACCAGCUGGCUCCCCUCCUGCCUCCUGUGGCUGUUUGACUCCUUGACUGUUAAAAUGCCACCCCACACCUAUUGGGAUGCAAAACUGAAGUCUUUAAAAGGAAGUAAUAAUAUAAGAAACACAAAUACAUUUAUGACAGCAACCUUCAAGAUCCUUGGCAUUUGGUUUCUCAGCUUUCCGCAACCUUUGCUUUCACUGAGAUGUUGAAACUGCUCGUCUGAGGGUGAAGGAGCCUCCUUAUCACAAUGCUGUAGCUGCCAGUUGGACUCCUGGGGCAUUCUGAGGUCUGGCCCUCAAAGUUUUCUUUCUAUUUUUCCUUUUUCAAUUUAGACCAAAAAAAAAAAAACCAUCAAAAAGAGAAAAACCACCCUAAAAACACACACACACACACACAAAAUCUGCCUAUUUGCCAGAGGCAAUUAUGUAUAUGUUAGUUGGAGGGUAUUUUAAAAAAAUCAGUUUUAUUCCAAAGAUUUAAAACUAGACAUGACUUAGAAACAAUUCCUGGAGCACUGCUUGCUGACAAUCUCUAGUCCUCUACUGCAUUUGAGUGCAUUUUGUGGCCAGUCCAUCAGCGCGCACCAUGGGGUCAUAUUUGAAUGUGUGGUGCAUCCUUUCUGGAUGAAGGAUGUGUGAGGGACCUUGAACCUCAGCUGUAUUAAACUGUAGCGCCUCCGUCAGUGCACUAGAUGAAACUUGAGACGCCCCAGAUUUUGUUGGUCGUUGACUUCCCUUUCUGGGGCAGCCUCCAGCACGAAUGCGCGCACACCCGUGAUGGCGUUAGCCGUGGCUGCCAUGAUUCACAAACGUGCUCUCCCUAGCUGGAGCCGCUCUUGCCUCUCGAAAUGCUAUUAUUAAGGGUUUAUAAUACUUAAUUUAAUUUUUGAACUGACCAAUGCAAGGCUCUAUUAAAAAGAAAGUUUUUAAAAAAAAAAAAAAAAGAAUGCAAAAGAGUAAUCGUUUCUUGUUUGCUCCCUGUUGCCAUCUGUGGUCUUGAAAAGAUCUCAUUUGAAUGUGGCGGAACAAAGGCCCUUUGGUCCUGAUCAGUGUCUGAAAUGCUCAGUAGUUCCUCUCUCUUUUGUCCCAGUGAGGUCCUUUGUAAUCUGCCCCUGGCCUUUCUCAGAGCAGGGUGCGCUGAACCGCAGUUGGGGGGUUUGCUUGCUUCAGAGUCACUUGUCAACUGUGAGAAUUGGCCUGAGAAUUUGGUGGGUGCUAAGUGUAUGGCUUUGAAACUAUUCUUUUCCAGCUUGAUGACACCUGUGAACGAUGAGCAGUCCUAUCCACGGGAGUCAGGGGAGCCCCAGUCAUUUUGGAAACAGAUUUGUGAUAAAAUAUCCAUCAUCUCUCAAGUGGCAGAGAUGGCUGGGAAGAGCCUGCUGCAGGAAACAGGCUUCCUAAGAAAUAACCUGAAGGUAUUUUGCUCCCAAGAGGACAGGUUAUUUAAAACAGUGCUUUAAUGGACAUUUGAAGCACAUUAAACUGCUUUCUCGUUUAAAUUGUUACCUCCUAACAUUCCAGGGGAUCCCAAAUUUGAGAGGAGACACCUGGCCUGGUGUUUCUUGUGCUUGUCCCCCAAGCACACCUAAUGCGGGGCUCAGAGCUGUUGUAGAAAAAGAGUGUUUCUAAGCCAUUGACAGUUUUCUUUAUUUCAAGUUCUGCUUCUUCCCCCUGCCACAUGGCUGUAAGUCAAAGAUGUGGAAACCUGAAAUUAUAAUGCUGCUCCCAGCAACUGGCCUCCUGCCCCACUCUUGGUUAAUUGGCCCAGCUUAAUGCCUGGUGGUGAUGAGCGUUAUAUCCAGAAAAAGAGAUGUUUGGAUUCCAUGACGAAGCUGCAUUUUAUGAGAGUAUCGGAGACCCCAAGAUCAACGUGAUGCUGACCAUUUCCUUCUCCUCUCUGUGUACUGUCCCUUGCAAAGCCCUUCAAAACCCCUCUCGUCGCUCCUGCACCUCUUGUGCCCUUCUUACAUCUUUGAUUGCCUGAUUAUAACAGGGUAAAAAGACAGCCAACCUCAUGCACGAUUACCAGACCUGAUUCCUAUUUUUAAAAAAUCUUCUUUGAAUCCAGAAGCCAGAGAAGAUUUUUUAAAGGACUUUAGUUUGGGAUAAGCUUCCAGAUUAGCCAUGUCUAUUUGCAUCAAAGGGGAAAUAAAUGGGACUUUCAGGGCAGCUCAUCCAGAACAUUCUGCCUUUUGCCCCUACUCCUGAAUUCUAUGGCAAAUUCAAAGAAAUGAAGUCAAAUGGCAAGAACAACAAAACCUCCUGAUUAGUUCUAUUGGUUCAAAAUGGUUUCCUCUGUGGAAGUCGUUUCAUAAAAUAUAAACUACAGAGCGAAGUCUUUUGUCUUCUCUUUCACAUGAGUUGGUUUUAGGAGAAGGAAGAAGGUAGGGAAAGUCAGAGAGAUGCAACACACUUAACUACAAAAAUCAGGUUCAUUGUUUCUUCGUUUUAAAUCUUACGAGGGCCAGCAUUUCUGGUGGCAAUUUUGCACCCAGAUCUUUGCCAAAGUGAAAAUUCAUUGAGUAGAACCUGGUUGAAAUGUGCUUGUGGAGGCUUUCCCCAGCAUCUUCCAGAAGUGGCCACCUGCCAGGUGUGGGGUAGGGGCAAGAGGCAAGAGUUUGCAUUCUGGGUCUGGGUUAGAUUUCGGUAAACAUGGUGAUAUCUCAGUUUGAAAACUGGAGGGGUCGGCCUGAGUACACAUCAAUGCCUCUUUGAUGGCCUCCUUUCCUCCAUGAGGAUCUUUGGGAAUACUUGAGUUGGAACAACAAAAAUGUGUCAAAGGCAGCAAACAGUGCUUGUAGACGUGAGAUCCCAGGACCAACUGCCUGAGGCUUCAGGUUCUCUCCUGCUCUUAACACUCUCUUCAGUCUCUUCUGUUGGUUCCUAAUAGAUCCCAGAAAAGGGAACAAUAAAGCUGCAAUUAACCUUCUUCUGUGCACCCUUCCAGUAUAGUACUGUAUCCCUCAGGAGUUCUGCAUUUAUGUAUAAGUCCUCGAGAAAACAGGUUUCAGAAAUGGAGAGAGAAAUCCUAGGCUGUCACUUCACAAAUAUCCCAAACAAGAGACUUUUCAAACAGGGCUCCCUCUCGGUGGUCCUGAGGGAAGGCUGACGCAUUCUUUGUUGGGGACUGUUUAUACAAUUUUUUUCAACUGUGAGCUUUGGAAUCGUAAAUUGCUUUGACUCCAGCUUCUGUCUACUGCCAUAAAAUGGACCCCACAUCAGAAUAAUGAGGGUGGUAUGUGUGCCCACACCUGGAGGGUGUGCAUAUGUACCUAUGGUACCUUCGCAGAAGGAAAACAGGCUACUGACGUUUAAGAGGAGUAGCCACCAGUGCCUAAUAUCUUUUCGGGGGAUGGAUGCUUAUAAUGCCAGUAUACUGAAACCACACUGGGAGUUCCACACAGAGGGGAGGGGCUGCGGGUGGGAGAGGGGACCUUUUAAUCCUAGGCCUUUGGACCGGAGGCAGAAUGCUUUCUGCCAGUCUCGGUCCAGAAAGGCUUUUGGGCUCAUUGGCUGGUUCUCAACCUGUUUGGGUUUUUUUCCCAGCAUGCAUUUUCUACCUAAGCUCAGACUUAGUUUAAUUUCCUUAUCUUUCACUUCUGCUUCAUUCCAGGGAGGAAAAGUACACCUGUUACGGCCAAGAUCUCCUUGCUAACACAGAGGCAAAAAUAAAUGUUUCAUGUUUUUGAAGCCUCCCCUUCCUUUUCACAAACCCUCCCAGAGCCCUCCCCUCUCGCCACCCCUCCCCACUCCCGCCACACGACUCCCCAGCCCCCACCACCUUUCUUCCAGAUCUCUCUUCUCCUCUGAACAGUUGCUUGAGAAGUUUGUUUUGCACUGUCGUUUUCUUUUUGCCGGAUGUGUCUGACAAGCGUGUUUGGAGAGACCGACUCGCAGCCCCGCCCCGGUCACAUUCUCUCAGGCCUUCUCUGGUAUUUAUAAUAUAUCACAGAAGUACCCAGUCUUAGAGCCCUCGGUUAUGCCUUUUUUUGACAUUUUAUUUUUUUUAAGCUUUUUAUAUAUAUAUAUAAAUAUAUUACUUUGUCAAGUUUUUUUGCUGUACAAAAGUCUUAAGAUUUAAAACUAUUAUUUGUAUUAUAUGAUGGUGGUAUGUUAAUGUUACAAAAUUAUUAAUGAAGAAAAAAUUUAUUUUUGUUACUGGUCUGUUUCAUAAUUCUUUUUUAAAUUGGUAUAUUGUAAGAUAUCUAUGCAAAAAAUGUUAUGUGACGCAUUUUUAUUUAAGAAUGUAAUAUGUGUAAUAAACAGUAGAAUGUG
Equus quagga is the source of this 7617-nucleotide RNA transcript. It is a transcript of the gene named KLF transcription factor 7, with no coding region annotated. The transcript has 5 exons. The record is from RefSeq and is a predicted model, not a curated record. NCBI's taxonomy places the organism in Eukaryota, Metazoa, Chordata, Mammalia, Perissodactyla, Equidae.